Long non-coding RNA from Hemibagrus wyckioides, 1996 nucleotides. RefSeq lists it as uncharacterized. NCBI's taxonomy places the organism in Eukaryota, Metazoa, Chordata, Actinopteri, Siluriformes, Bagridae. The record is from RefSeq and is a predicted model, not a curated record. The transcript is spliced from 4 exons.
UCGUUUUCUUGACUUGAUUAGUUCUGCAUAAAACUUAAGCUUGUUUGGUGAAUCCUCUGAUGAAAUAAUAAUAUGUGCAUUUUAUAAGUACAUGCAUUCUUAGGAAUAAAAUAAAAUUCAAUCCCGUUUUUAUUUUGUAUGUAUGUUCUUAUUUGUGUAUAAAUGCAAGAUGUCACAAUAUGCUGUUCAAUUGAUGUAGUUUUGUAGAAAAUGGGUGUGAAAUUGUGCAGAUGUUUAGAAUGAACGUUUCUUUAUGAACCUGUGUUGUUUGUAGGGUUCACAAGAUAUUGGUCAUUGCUUGCACGAGAGGGCAUAUGAGGGAAAACAUUUGGACAGUGUGAGAAAUCUGGUAUUAAAAUAAGGUCAAUGUGCCCAUAGUUACCAAAUGACCAUUAAUAGGGUUCAAACAGGCCUAACUUUGACACUUACUGCUCCGUGAUUUUUCAGGUUGGAGCUGGAGUUGUUCUACGCUGCAAUGUCAGUUCGUUUUGGUGAACACAGCAUGCACAUUAUGAAACUAUUCUUUUUGACAUCGUGGAGUGAAAACAGACUGAACUUGAGGCCAUAGUUGAUCUGCCUCAGUUAACUCACACACGUCUUCCUCUGCUUCAGCUUCAUCUUCCAGCUGAACGCGCGAUAUAUGCAAGCGGGAGAUCCGUUGCAGCCUCUUGCGAAGCAGCCUCUCCAACAUCUCACGAGACUUGCGAACAAGCCAUAUAAACUAAUUAUUUUAAAAAGCUCAUAUUUAUUAACAUUUGACAGUAAUGGAGGAACGCAGCCAAAUGUAGCGAAGUAAACGUAAAGUUUUUUCACUAAAAAUGUACUUGAGUAAGAGUAAAAGUACAAUUCUUUAAAUAUACUCUAAAAGUACAAGUUACCCAAAAAACUUACUCAAGUAAAUGUAACUCGUUACUACCCACAUCUAGUAGUGGGUUUUUGUUUGUUAUUUUGGCCUUGUUGGCUCCCGAAGCUACACUCCCCCAUUAUACUCUAAACCCUUUGGUUUUCAUUAAAAUGCCACUUUAAUGCCUUUUUUCCACACUCUCUUGAGUCAUCAACUCUUUCUUGUUGCACCUUUACACUAGAUGGGGUGUAACAUGAAAUUGGUGGCUCAUCCAGGAUCUGAACCUGGGACCUCUCACACUGAGUGAUUUUAUCUCACUAGAUGGACACACACAUGGCACUGUGCUGGACGACACCCAGGACGAGUAGGCGGAGGCAGCGGAGAUGGCCAUCAAGCAGCUAAAUGAAAAACUGUUAAACAAGUGCCAAGUCACCACAGAGCACUUCAAAUCCUGCAAUCAUCGUGAGGCAGAGGCGCACAAGAAGCUGGAUGUGGGAUAAGCGCAGAAAAGUAUAGAGAGGCAGACUGGGCUCAGUCAGAAGACUGAGCAGGGUCUGAAUCUCUACAUUAAGAACAUGGAUGAGAACCUGGGUUACGAGGGUCCGCGCUUGUUCUUUGUGCAAUUUGGAAAAAUCAAAAACAUGAAGGUGAUGAUGGAGAAUGGCCGGUCUAGUGGGUUCGGCUCCGUGAACUUCACGUCCUCCUAGGAAGCACUGAACACCAUGAAUGAGGUCAUGGUUUUCUUGCUUGUCAGAGAAUGCAGAGGAUGCAGUUUAAUAUCAGAAACUCUCAGAAACUCUGCCAGCCCAUGUUGCCUCCCUGACUAAUGAAGAACUUCGUUCCUGAGGUAGACGUUACAUUGCUGCCCCAAAUUUCCACAAGAGGCUAUUGCUAGAUAGACAGAAACACCACCUGUGAUCAGAACAGAUGAAAUAACGUCUGUGAUACAGACCCCAAGCCAGAAGUUCGAGCCCCAUCCGGAUCUGAUGUGAAAGUGCAACAUCUAGCUGUGGACAGAUGUCAUUUUCUUCUGCACUUCUCUUUUAGGAAACCCUGAAGAUGAUAUUUUACAAUCAUGCAAAAACAUCAGCAAGAUUAAGAAGAAAAACAAUAAAAAAGAAGAUCAGGAAAAAGGAAUGAAUAAAAGCCCCA